AGAGUUUGAUCCUGGCUCAGGAUGAACGCUGGCGGUAUGCUUAACACAUGCAAGUCGAACGGUGUCUUCGGGCACAGUGGCGGACGGGUGAGUAACGCGUGAGAAUCUGGCUUCAGGUCUGGGACAACCACUGGAAACGGUGGCUAAUACCGGAUGUGCCCUUAGGGGUGAAAGAUUAAUUGCCUGAAGAUGAGCUCGCGUCUGAUUAGCUAGUAGGUGUGGUAAAGGCGCACCUAGGCGACGAUCAGUAGCUGGUCUGAGAGGACGAUCAGCCACACUGGGACUGAGACACGGCCCAGACUCCUACGGGAGGCAGCAGUGGGGAAUUUUCCGCAAUGGGCGAAAGCCUGACGGAGCAAUACCGCGUGAGGGAGGAAGGCUCUUGGGUCGUAAACCUCUUUUCUCAGGGAAGAACACAAUGACGGUACCUGAGGAAUAAGCAUCGGCUAACUCCGUGCCAGCAGCCGCGGUAAUACGGAGGAUGCAAGCGUUAUCCGGAAUGAUUGGGCGUAAAGCGUCCGCAGGUGGCGAUGUAAGUCUGCUGUUAAAGAGUGAGGCUCAACCUCAUAAGAGCAGUGGAAACUACAUAGCUAGAGUACGUUCGGGGCAGAGGGAAUUCCUGGUGUAGCGGUGAAAUGCGUAGAGAUCAGGAAGAACACCAGUGGCGAAGGNNCUCUGCUAGGCCGUAACUGACACUGAGGGACGAAAGCUAGGGGAGCGAAUGGGAUUAGAUACCCUAGUAGUCC
This 746-nucleotide ribosomal RNA is filed under the name uncultured bacterium. RNAcentral's name for it is "bacterial SSU rRNA". It matches the Rfam family "Bacterial small subunit ribosomal RNA", at positions 8 to 796 of the family's 1533-position model. The record is from RNAcentral.